CGAGCGCAGGCGGCGGGCGGCCGGGCCUGGGCAGAGGUCGAAACAGUAGCAAAGGACUGCCUCAGUCUACGAUUUCUUUUGAUGGAAUCUAUGCAAAUAUGAGGAUGGUUCAUAUACUUACAUCAGUUGUUGGAUCCAAAUGUGAAGUACAAGUGAAAAAUGGAGGUGUAUAUGAAGGAGUUUUUAAAACAUACAGUCCUAAGUGUGAUUUGGUACUUGAUGCUGCACAUGAGAAAAGUACAGAAUCUAGUUCGGGGCCAAAACGUGAAGAAAUAAUGGAGAGUAUUUUGUUCAAGUGUUCAGACUUUGUUGUGGUACAGUUUAAAGAUAUGGACUCCAGUUAUGCAAGGAGGGAUGCUUUCACUGACUCCGCUAUCAGUGCUAAAGUGAAUGGUGAACACAAAGAGAAGGACCUGGAGCCGUGGGAUGCAGGUGAACUCACUACCAGUGAGGAACUGGAGGCUUUGGAAAAUGAUGUCUCUAACGGAUGGGAUCCCAAUGAUAUGUUUCGAUAUAAUGAAGAAAAUUAUGGUGUUGUGUCUACAUACGAUAGCAGUUUAUCUUCAUAUACGGUGCCCUUAGAAAGGGAUAACUCAGAAGAAUUUUUAAAACGGGAAGCAAGGGCAAACCAGUUAGCAGAAGAAAUUGAAUCAAGUGCCCAGUAUAAAGCCCGGGUGGCCCUGGAAAAUGAUGAUAGGAGCGAAGAAGAAAAAUACACAGCAGUUCAGAGAAAUUCCAGUGAACGUGAGGGCCACAGCAUAAACACUAGGGAAAAUAAAUAUAUUCCUCCUGGACAAAGAAAUAGAGAAGUCAUAUCCUGGGGAAGUGGGCGACAGAAUUCACCGCGUAUGGGCCAGCCAGGAUCAGGCUCCAUGCCGUCAAGAUCCACCUCUCACACUUCAGAUUUCAACCCGAAUUCUGGUUCUGACCAAAGAGUAGUUAAUGGAGUUUUUAUACUUUCCUUCAUAUCAUUUGUUCUGUCAGGUGUUCCCUGGCCAUCGCCUUGCCCAUCUCCUUCCUCUCGCCCACCUUCUCGCUACCAGUCAGGUCCCAACUCUCUUCCACCUCGGGCAGCCACCCCUACACGGCCGCCCUCCAGGCCCCCCUCGCGGCCAUCCAGACCCCCGUCUCACCCCUCUGCUCAUGGUUCUCCAGCUCCUGUCUCUACUAUGCCUAAACGCAUGUCUUCAGAAGGGCCUCCACGGAUGUCCCCAAAAGCCCAGCGACACCCUCGAAAUCACAGAGUUUCCACUGGGAGGGGUUCCAUUUCCAGUGGCCUAGAAUUUGUAUCCCAUACUCCACCAAGUGAAGCAGCUACUCCUCCAGCAGCAAGGACCAGUCCCGCGGGAGGCACAUGGUCAUCAGUGGUCAGUGGGGUUCCAAGAUUAUCCCCUAAAACACACAGACCCAGGUCUCCCAGACAGAAUAGUAUUGGAAAUACUCCUAGUGGGCCAGUUCUUGCUUCUCCCCAGGCUGGUAUUAUUCCAACUGAAGCUGUUGCUAUGCCUGUUCCAGCUGCAUCUCCUACGCCUGCCAGCCCUGCAUCCAACAGAGCUGUUACCCCAUCUAUUGAGGCUAAAGAUUCCAGGCUUCAUGAUCAGAGGCAGAACUCUCCUUCAGGGAAUAAAGAAAAUAUGAAGCCCAAUGAGACAUCGCCUAGCUUCUCAAAAGCUGAAAGUAAAGGUAUAUCACCAAUUGUUUCUGAACAUAGAAAACAAAUUGAUGAUUUAAAGAAAUUUAAGAAUGAUUUUAGGUUACAGCCAAGUGCUACUUCUGAAUCUAUGGAUCAACUGAUAAACAAAAAUAGAGAGGGAGAAAAAUCAAGAGAUUUGAUCAAAGACAAAAUUGAACCAAAUGCUAAGGAUUCUUUCAUUGAAAAUAGCAGCAACUGCACCAGUGGCAGCAGCAAGCCGAGCAGCCCCAGCAUUUCCCCUUCAAUCCUCAGUAACGUGGAGCACAAGAGAGGGCCUGAGGUCACAUCCCAGGGGGUUCAGACUUCCAGUCCAGGAUGUAAACAAGAGAAAGAUGAUAAAGAGGAGAAGAAAGAUGCAGCUGAGCAAGUGAGGAAAUCAACAUUGAAUCCCAAUGCGAAGGAGUUCAACCCUCGUUCCUUUUCUCAGCCAAAGCCUUCUACUACCCCAACUUCACCUCGUCCUCAAGCACAACCUAGCCCAUCUAUGGUGGGUCAUCAGCAGCCAACACCAGUUUAUACUCAACCUGUUUGUUUUGCACCAAAUAUGAUGUAUCCAGUCCCCGUGAGCCCAGGCGUGCAACCUUUAUAUCCUAUACCUAUGACGCCCAUGCCAGUGAAUCAAGCCAAGACAUAUAGAGCAGGUAAAGUACCAAAUAUGCCCCAACAACGGCAAGACCAGCAUCAUCAGAGCACCAUGAUGCACCCAGCGUCAGCAGCAGGACCACCAAUUGUGGCCACCCCGCCAGCUUAUUCCACACAAUAUGUUGCCUAUAGUCCUCAGCAGUUUCCGAAUCAGCCUCUCGUUCAGCAUGUGCCACAUUAUCAGUCUCAGCAUCCUCAUGUCUAUAGUCCUGUGAUACAGGGUAAUGCUAGGAUGAUGGCACCACCAACACAUGCCCAGCCUGGUUUAGUAUCUUCUUCAGCAACUCAGUACGGGGCUCAUGAGCAGACGCAUGCGAUGUAUGCAUGUCCCAAAUUACCAUACAACAAGGAGACAAGCCCUUCUUUCUACUUUGCCAUUUCCACUGGCUCCCUUGCUCAGCAGUAUGCGCAUCCUAACGCUACCCUGCACCCGCAUACUCCACACCCUCAGCCUUCAGCCACCCCUACCGGACAGCAGCAGAGCCAGCACGGUGGAAGCCACCCUGCACCCAGCCCUGUUCAGCACCAUCAGCACCAGGCCGCCCAGGCUCUUCAUCUGGCCAGUCCACAGCAGCAGUCAGCCAUCUACCACGCGGGGCUCGCGCCCACCCCACCUUCCAUGACACCUGCUUCCAAUACGCAGUCGCCACAGAAUAGUUUCCCAGCAGCACAACAGACCGUCUUUACGAUUCAUCCUUCUCAUGUUCAGCCAGCAUACACCAAUCCACCCCACAUGGCCCAUGUACCUCAGGCUCAUGUACAGUCAGGAAUGGUUCCUUCUCAUCCAACUGCCCAUGCGCCAAUGAUGCUAAUGACGACACAGCCACCCGGCGGUCCCCAGGCCGCCCUCGCUCAAAGUGCACUACAGCCCAUUCCAGUCUCGACAACAGCGCAUUUCCCCUAUAUGACGCACCCUUCAGUACAAGCCCACCACCAACAGCAGUUGUAAGGCUGCCCUGGAGGAACCGAAAGGCCAAAUUCCCUCCUCCCUUCUACUGCUUCUACCAACUGGAAGCACAGAAAACUAGAAUUUCAUUUAUUUUGUUUUUAAAAAAAUAUGUUGAUUUCUUGUAACAUCCAAUAGGAAUGCUAACAGUUCACUUGCAGUGGAAGAUAUUUGGACCGAGUAGAGGCAUUUAGGAACUUGUGGGCUGUUCCAUAAUUCCAUAUGCUGUUUCCAAGUCCCGCAAGUACCCCAGCUCUGCUUGCUGAAACUGGAAGUUAUUUAUUUUUUAAUGACCCUUGAAAGUCAUGAACACAUGAGCUAGCAAAAGAAGUAACAAGAGUGAUUCUUGCUGCUAUUACCGCAAAAAACAAACAAAAAACAAAAAAAAAAAUCAAGACUUGGAACACCCUUUUACUAAACUUGACAAAGUUUCAGUAAAUUCUUACCGUCAAACUGACGGAUUAUUAUUUAUAAAUCAAGUUUGAUGAAGUGAUCACUGUCUACAGUGGUUCAACUUUUAAGUUAAGGGAAAAACUUUUACUUUGUAGAUAAUAUAAAAUAAAAACCUAAAAAAAAUUAAAAAAUAAAAAAAAGUUUUAAAAACUGAUACCAAGUUAAUGUGUGUUUGUAUGAGCUAUUCCCAUUAUAGGAUACUGAAUAUGGGGGCAGGAGGUCUGGCUCUGCUUUCUUAAUACCCUGGAAGAUUCGCUAGCUGUCAAAUGCUUUUUUUUUUUCACCUUUAGUUCUAAUUCGAGGUAUCUCUAGAAAAAGACAAGACUGAGAUAAUUCUCUUUGGUGCAUAGAGGUCUGCUUCAGAAGGAGGAAGGUUGGCCAGAGUUGGGCAGCACUGAAAGUCCACAUCCUCAGCCCGACGCUGAUUCCAAAUGAUCAAAGGCAGAAGAUUUAUACCAGAUAAAACCAUAUGGAUUGCUGGUCUAAAAUUCAAGGCAGGUUAGUUGAUUGACUUAAUUCUUUGGUGCUGGUGACUGUUAGUUUGUAAAAGUUCAUUAACGUGAGAUGAAGGAAGCGAUGAGGCUGGGAGCAAUCAAGCUAUCCUGUUGCCUGUGAUUAGAGAUAACCAGAGGGGUUAUGAUGCCUUUAUUGUCCAUUUGGCCCUCAGAGCCUGGGCUCUCGGUGGAGGCCGCUGGCUUGGUCUCUUGCCGCUAGCGGUGGUCACAUUGAGCCUGAAAGGAGGGUGGUGGUGUGUGCUGACUGUGGUGGGCUGGCUGCAGCCAUCAGGGUCACUGCCUGUGGAGGCAUCAAGUCCAGGGACCCAUUGCUGCCCUUCCUUCAGCGCGACCUGCUCUAGCAGAAAGAGGCAGCACUGGGUUAGUGUCACUUCCUCCCAGGCCUUGAGGGGGCUUUGUGUUGGAAUGUAUUUGAGCUGUCGUCGUAACUCAGAAAGGUUUAGAAAUGUUUUUCUUGAACAUUCUAUACUGGAGCAGUGUGGAAGUAGGUGACUGUCCAGCGGGUCAGAGCUGCUAGCUUGGAGCCUGGCUUGCCUCUUGGCACUACCUGAGAAUUGUAUGUUGAGAGGCUGUUAAGGAGUGAGUGUCCCUGGCUUGAAGAUGUCAUAUCCCACAUGUUUAUUUACCCUUCUUGUGGGAGGGCGGGAACUUGUCUGGUUCAUUGUCUGCUUGCCCGUUCCCUGUGCAGAUAAGGGGAAAAGCUGUACCAGUGACGUGUCAGUAUUAGCUGUAUGUGAUGCACUUUCUCUUUUAAAAGAGAAAUCCAAAAUAGCGCUUACUCCUGGUUCACACUCAGCUUAGCAUUCCUUACUCAGAGACCUGCUUGAUGUGUGGAAUAUGAAGGAAAGACAAGUGCCCUCAGAAAUAGACCACAACUCUAGAUCAGGAUUGGAUCUUCUUUACUAUCUGUGAAAACACCCAGGAGUGUUGGGUUUUCAAGUGGUGAAGAGUGGUGGGCUGCUUACCUCCCCAUCCUUCCAAAGUCUGACCUCUAACCUCCUGGAGUACACAGAUAGUGGCUGGAGGGAGCAGACCAAACCCUCAUCCCAGAUAAGGCAGGCAGUAAUUUAGGCCAGGAUUUAAUUUUAGGCUUUGAUCAGUGCCUCUAUAAAUGUUAAGCUGUGCUAAAUUCCCAGUUUCCUAGAAGCCACUUCGGUGAGCCUGGCAGCUGUACUGAACGGCCCUGCUGGCAGCCAGGGGCAAUCGACUCCACUCUGUCACUGCCUGCCUUGUUUCUGAGCCUCCGCAUGAAAGUUCUGGGACAAGCCAGCUCCCUGUGAAUUGUUUCACUUGUGAAAGGCAAGUAUAGAUGGAACUUUGCCUCCAGGACCUCCCUGGAUGUCGGAGGUGGUGUGUGCUUGUUACAUCCACACACAUUCUUCAUCAGGUGAGGCAGUAACGGGCUGGAACAGGACAUUGAUCGUGGUCUCUUAAAGGAGUUUUUCAUUUAGCUGUGGCACCAGAUCCCUAGAUUCCAUUUUGGCUCAAGAAUGAGCCUAAAACCUGGUUGGGAUAAUUUAAUGUCAGUAGACUCUUUGAGGCUCUGAGCCAGUCCUGUUGGUGAAGGGUUUCCUAGAAA
This is a non-coding RNA of Vicugna pacos (alpaca), 5828 nucleotides long. Lineage: Eukaryota; Metazoa; Chordata; Mammalia; Artiodactyla; Camelidae. The record is from RefSeq and is a predicted model, not a curated record.